Long non-coding RNA from Gasterosteus aculeatus aculeatus (three-spined stickleback), 7572 nucleotides. The record is from Ensembl. NCBI's taxonomy places the organism in Eukaryota, Metazoa, Chordata, Actinopteri, Perciformes, Gasterosteidae.
UUUUUUUAAAGAUGAUUCAUAAAAUGAUAGAUAUAAUUUUCUGUUUGAAGCUUAGUCCAAUCACAUCGCACUCCAAUCCCAGCUGUAGAUCUAUUCAGGUGUUGAAUAACUUUCAAUUUCAUAAUCAUCUAUCGAUGGUGCUGAUGAAAUUAUUACGUGUGAGCUACUUCGCUGGCAUAGCAUGUUUUAUUUCUUAUGAACUCAAAGAUGUUCCUGUCUUUUUCCUCCUCUUUCUGUUCUUUUUAUAAUGAGUAAAUCCUCUUUCCAUUGUUCCAUUGUUUAAUUGUACAGUUAAAAAACAUACCCUUUAUAUAUUUCUUAAUAAGGCACAGAGUGUGUAGUAAGACCUACUCAGGUCUUAAUACUGACAAAUUCUAUCAAAAGGUAUUUCUGAGAAACUGUGGCCUUUUAACUUAGAUUAAAUCUAGUUAUAAUAAAUCUGUUAACUUGUGGCAUUUGUGUGUUAGUUACUUUGCUGGCAUUAUAUUUAAAUUACAGGAAAAAAAUACAUUUUAUUAGCAUCAAUAGAUUUUUUUGGAGAAUAUAAUUGCUCUUCAAAGGACUUUUAAGAUAUAUUUGUUGUAGUUAGCUGUGUGAGGAGUUUCUACAACUGAACAAAAAUAAUGCGAGCAGUUGUCAAAAAGUGUAAACCUCACACCACGUAUAAUUUAUAGACGGUGCAAGGAAGCAAAGCCUUUUGAAGCCUUAUGCAGCAAACAAGUAGCACAUAAGAGUCUGCAUUUGUUGUAUUGUACUUAAAAUUCCAUGUCUAUGAAAGAUGAAAGAUUCCUAUCUUCAUUCAAGGGAAAUAAUAGUGUCUGCCCCCUCCACUGUUCUCCGUUCCAUUACAAGGCCACGUGUAAACACAGCGGUUGCUUUUAGAUUAGCUUAACGCAAACGCUUCAUUUGAUGCGGCAUCUGAAUCUGCUCAGCUAUGAGGAAACAUCCAAAAUGGGUGAACUACAGCUCAGCCAGUUGGUUUGCCGGACAGAUGGAAAUGCUGUUUUUCAUUCAUGCUGGGCAAGAAACACCAAGCCCCCCGCAGCUAGAGAGAGUGGGAGGGAAAGGUGCCGUGGAAAUACUGUGGUUAAAAAGUGAUUAUUCCUCUCAUGUAGAGGGGUGCUGCCAUUAGAACAGUUUCUCUGCAGCUGUUUGGGCCGCUCUCUCUUACCACUGGACUGUCCUGAGUUAUGAGGGAAUGCUCUGACACACACAGAAUAUCUUUUGACAAAUUGAGGCCACUGGGAAAUAACAUUGCAGCGGUGGGUACAGAGCUGCGACCCGCUGCAGAGAAACCAAGUGCCCGGACUCUUAACCGUUCUUGUGACCUCACGCUGAAGUCCACUCUGCACCCAUUCAGCGUUUCCCAUCUCGUCACUUCAUCCCUGACCAGCCUCCCUCCAGUCCCCGCAUUAGGAUCGUUGUUGAGUUAAGCAGCUCGUACAGACCUGCCAGUUUUUCUUUCUCACAAAUUGAAAUGAAGAUCCUGCAAGGGAGCGUGAGGUCCGGGGCGGCCAACUUUUAAUGUACUCAGUCCUGUUGUAAUCGGCCCUGACAGCUCAUUGUGAAUCAGGGAAAAAUCUUGCUUUUGAAAUCUAGUCAGUGUACAGUAAUUACAGGCAGUGCAGCCAGUGUCUGACACAUUCGCCUCACGGGCAGCAGGGUAAUAAAGCGAGAGGACCGUCCUUCAAUUUCGGGAAGCUGUUUAAGAACCUGGUGGUGCUGGUAAGCAUCUGCCUUGCUGAGGUCUCCUUGAGAAAGAAAAUUAAGCUCGGACCCUGCAGCGAGACCUGAAUGUGGAACUAUCAGUGAACUUGAUGUAGCCAUGAAUACUUUUUGCUCUCUUUUCCUAAAUUAAAAUUCUUUUUGCUGAAUAUGGCUGCAAUAUUAAGUGCGGCUGACCCUCGGUCAGCAAAAAAAAAUUAAAAAUCGACAGGCCUGUCAUGCCUCAACAUGAGAUGAAUGCCAAUGUUUUUCUUUUCGCUCAUCUUGUUUCAACUUUCAAGUAUUUGUUUUGCAGAACAAUUACACAGCAUCAACAUUUGACAAGUGCUGAGUGCACAGUGUGCGUGGGAGCUGCUUGCAUGUCGCUCCUGUGUGAGCGGUGGGGGAGGGCUGGUCCAUCGGUUUUAAGUGGAGGCACUUGGUGAGGAAGACAGUGUGCAAAUGCUGUACAGAUUCACAGUGAUAGCGUGUGGGGCCUGACAGUCCGGCGUUGCCUCUACUGGGGUGAGAAGUCGUGAUGGUUCUGGGGCCCGACAGCUGGGAAUAGAAAUUCCAAAGAGGAAAAAAGAGAGGGUUGUUGUUUGAGAUUUAAGAGCACUCCUAGUGGUAGAAACUAUGAUUUAAGAUGUGUUAUUAGAGUGUAUUAGCUACUAGAUGAUGACGAUAUUAUGCAUGCUAUGUUAUGUUUACAUGAAGAAGCUUUAGGUCAAAGGUGAGACCAUUGAAUGUAUUGUAAUAGUAAAUGAAUAAAGAUUCAUGGAACGCCUUGGAACAGAAAGUAAUGUACGACAACAAUGUGGGAGGAGCUGCAUUUGAAUGUGCAGCCAAUCACAUACGACUGCGGCACAAGGGACCGCCCCAUCGAGACUGGGAAAGCUCUGCUGGAGAAGAGGCAGGCAGAAGCCUCCUGAGGACCAUUAUUGAUGGUCACUGGUCCAGGGGAUUCUAUAUUUCGGGAAAUAUUAUACUAUUCAUACAGUGCUUCAUUUUGUAAGUGUAUUUCUUCUGUUGGUCAUUUUUUAACUUGUAAACUGGAGCCGGUUGAAUCUUUUUGAUUUCUCGUCUCCUGCUGGGAAGGGAGUGAUUCCUUCAUCAGAUGAAAAGAGCAGGGUUGGUGUAGCACUGCUGAGGGGAAAAGAGCCUUCCUUCAGGGGUUUGGACACCGUGCACCCAUCUCGCUAUAUAGACAUUCUAUCCCACUGCCGGUGAGAAAAAUAUCAUAUAACUCAAUAACAAAGCCUUCAUUGUUUCCCCUUAGUGGUGCCCACGCUAUCAACCACUGGGAGAAAAAGACAGACUGAGGCCUAAUCUGUGAAACAUCACGAGGGUUGAGAGGCUAUACCGCUGUUAUGUGAAAAAGCUCUUCCAUGGACUGUCAGUUUGAACACAAACCACUGGGAAAUCGUUCUUUUUCGUAAAUGGAUAUUUUUCCAGUUAAUUCUCGAGGUAGACGGUGGAUAGCUGUGCUUUCUUUAAAUAGUGUUUAUUGGUGUACGUGGUGGUGCUGGUGAUGUCACAGCGGCUGUGGGGCACAAUUAUUUUAUGGUGUUAUGUUCUUGUGUCAAAUUGAAUUUUAGGCCUGUGAUAUAGAUUUCGUGUGAAGCUUGAGAUGCCUGGGAGAUGGCCACGUUCUCGGCAUUCUCUCUGAGGCACACAGAAGACGCGUUGGGCAAGAGUCCAUUAUUUGUAAAUUUAGAAAUGGAGAUUGUUGGCAUAAUCAUAGCCAAGACAUUGAAGGCCAAACUUCUUCCAUUAACGAGAGGUGACAUCACAUGAGGAGAAGGUCACACAAUAUGUGCACGGUUAUUGAAACCCCCCCACGCUGCAGUGCCAACUCGCUCGUAUAUCCGCACACUCACACCGUGCGGUAAUUGAGGAUUCUACAACCGAGCCGCUUCCGACCAUCUUUUGCCAAGAAAUAUGUUCAAUAGAUCGAGAGGAACCUGUGAUGUAGUCAUCAAGUUUACGAUCUGAAAAGCCUUUCACAAAGAUCUUGUCCACGUUUUUCCCAAUGGACCUCUGUGAUGUAGAUCAGAUUUAUUUCUAAACAGGUGGCUCAUUUGUUUGCCAAAAUUGCCACCUUAUGUGUUUUAGAUUUUCAGACGUUUGUUGAACUGAAUCGCAUAAAUGGUGACAUCCCUACACAGCAAAAAAAGUAAGUAAGUUAGUAAAUAGGUUAGCUACUGAAUGCUUACAAUUGUUGUUUUUCAUUAUAUUUUUUCAGAUCUAUUUACUUUAUAACUCUCUUUGUCUACAACAAUGGAAGAAAUAUGAACUAAAAAUACUCUUUCUCACAAACACAGCCACACACACCACCUGAUCCACCAGCGAGUUACUUUCUUUGUAAAAUAUUGUGUUGUUUAGCCAAAAAAGCCAGCAUCAGUAUAGUAUUUAGCAUUAUUACAGGUGUGUAGCUCCACAGCAGCAGAGAAGUAACCUGAUUUCUGUAAAUUACAGGCGGCCCUGAGCCGUGUUAGACUGUUGAUGUUGUUUUCAUUCUUUUGCCAUGAACAAAACCAUCAGUCCACGAUGAAUCCCAAACCUGUCUCUUACACAACAGCAAUAGAGACUCUAUAUACCCAGAGAAAAGCAACAGACUCUUCUGUUGAAAAGCUACCGGCCUUUCUUAUCCUGGUAAACACGACUGUGCUGUGUGCAAUUUACUCACGUCACAUCACAUUGUUUCUUUUACAGCGCUUCAUAGUUUGGGACGGCUAGUGUAUGAUUUUAUAUUUUAUAUUUUCUGCCAGAAAACAUUGACAGUGCAUUUCUCAGAAUCUCACUUGCGUGGGCGGUGAACUGAACACUGUGGGAAUACUUUCUGACUUAAGACUCCACCGAGGUUUGCCCUCUGCACCGCGGUGCGCUUUGCUCUUAUCAGCUGUGAGAGAUCUUGACAUGCAGACAGUGAUGUGGAUUACUGCUCAAAUGCAUUGAAACACGUAUUGUGAUUGAAAGAUGUCAUAUGGAGAAACCUUUUAGUUUCUUAAAAGUAGCUAUUUCAAAUAAUUGCAAUUUAGUCCAGUGAUGCAGAUGUUUUUCUUACAGCAAUUGUGACCAGUUCUAAAAAGUGAUCUCUUACUUUAUUGAUUAUUUUCUUUAUGUCAGCCUGAAGAGGUCCCACUGCCAGAAACCUAAUUGGCCAUGCAUAGGCAAACAUAAGGGGGAAGUCUGGAAGAAAUAAAAAUGAUCUUUGUAGUUAUUGCGACCCCUCAGAGAACCCCUAGCCUUGAAACCAAUGAUGUAUUUUCUAUCCAAUAUCAGAAACUAAAUGGAAAACUACCCUCACAAUUUGACACCUUCAAAUGAAUAAUCAAUUACAUAUUUGUCUAUUUAACAGAACAAAAAAACGAUCUCAUGAAUAUAAUAUGAUGUUAAAUAGAAAAACGCAGUGAAUCUUCAUUUUAGCGACACUAGGGGGAAGUUAAGGGGUAGAUCUGACAGAGAAAACGAAACACAUACAAACCAUUCUUUUUCACUACAUUCAUGCCAUUUGAUUAUGUGAACUUUAAAAUAGCAGAGAGUGAAGCACGACUCAGAGUAUGCAGGAUUCUCCCAGGACAUCCUUAUCAUCCAUUUGUCCAAGGCCAGGUUCGAGACUCUGAAAUUCAGGGGAUUAAUGUCUGCAGUGAUAACGGACAGGAUGUGCUGUUGGACUUGAAGCUUCAAUCCACAGGACUGCCGAACCAUGACACCCAUGCAAAGUAUUUCAUUUAGAGUUUAAGGACGGAAAUAAAAGGAAAUAACAAAAUCAAAUGAAAGUACAAGGCCUAAGGGCAGAGGUGGCAAUAAUAUAUCUGUCCCAUGUCGAUAGCAUGGUUUCCUGCAGUGUAUAAAGGAAAUAGGCCUACUUUACUGAAUCGAAGACAACCUUGAAAACCAUCAUAACAAUAAAUAACGUUUUAUAAAAACUGCACAUUCACCUCCAGGGAUUUUACGUGUUUCGGAUGACGUCCACAAAUUAAGCUAAUCUCCAAAUGUGACGCUACAUGUUCUGGCUGGUUUACCACCUCAGCUAAACAAUUUCCUUGGAGUAACCUCGUAUAGUGUUGUGAAGAUAGUUUAGUGGAAGACUUAAUGGUAAUAAUACGGAGAUUAUAUCCUAAAAUUAUGUAUAGGUCCAUUCUUUCAAACUUCAAUAUUUUGGGGUCGCAAUGGUGGUGGAUCCGAGCAUGAACAAUAGCUUCAUAUUUUUCACACCUAAUGCGGUAAAGACUACUCAUAGAUAAUCCAAAAAUUCUCUUUGAAAAUAUUGAUUAUGUGGCUCAGAGACUCUACUAAUGGAAAUGUUAUGCUGCCGUCGAACCCGUGACAGAAGAGGAAUAAAUUUGCAUCCACGGUGCUGCCUAAGAAAUUAAUGGGGAAGUGAUGAUUGGAGUAAUUAGUGCCAUUUAAUUUAAUUGUCCACAUAUUUCUAUUUAAUUGCCCCGCUCGUGCAUAUCCAUUUUUUUUUGCUCUAAGAAAAGGUAUAUUAAUACAAACUAUGAAUGUCAUUUGAGCCCUGUAUGGAUUGAUGGUUGUGAAAUUGUAUUGCAUUUUCCAUAAUGAGAAAUAACUCUCCAACUGAGAAAAAUUAUUUAUAAAUAUACUUUACUUGUAUACAUCACAGACUAAUUCAACUGAUGAGUGCUUUGCUGAACGCCUUCUGGAUGAAUGUUAUUAACCCUGGAACUUGUGAAAUGGUUAUUUUUAGUGAGGUUUCAUGCUGUUUUUUGCUAUCAGGUAACAAGCCCCUCCUUCUUUUCAAUGUAUUCAAUUAAACAUAAAUGAUCCCUCAGGCGAACUCAUGCAAUAAAUGUUACUAAUAAUAAAUGAAACACUUUCUUAAAUAUGUCCGGCUUGGUACACAAGUAAGUAUAUCUAUUGUACCUAAUACUAAUAUAUAAUUUCCCCCCACCAUUUGCAUGGUGGAAAUAGCACUCAUUAAAAACCAACCUGUCAUACGCAGUUGUCCUACCCCAGUGGGUCACAAUAAAUAGAGCAUGGCUCAAGAGGAAGCAUUUGGCAAGGAGUACCGGCUUAUUUCUCGGAUGCACUGGGUCUAUAACUGUGAUAAUGCCGUGACGGCAUCAUUUGAUAAACUGAACUGCUUCAUUGUAACUAUUCUGUGCACAGACUGGUUUUGUUUAUGGAAUGUCCUGCACGGUAAAAUGAAACAAUGAAGACGACAAAACAUUGAGGUUCGUCUGAACUAAUUAUGCUUCCAAGACUGCUGAUAGACUGACAUCCAGAAUAAUCAAUGUGACAUCCCUAAUGAAAACGAGGCAAAGUUAAAAAUAAAAUGUCCCAUCUCUGAGGGAUUUUAACCCAUAGCACACACACACACACACCAAAAGAUCAUGGGAGAUAUUUUAUUUAUGAUAGCUGUAAUUACAUUUUUAAGCUGCUGUAAAUCAGGUGUGUCCAUGUCCGUGGUUUUGACUACCUAUUGGAAAGAGAUCAGGAAGAUGUAUUGCUAUCGCUGCUCUGUGCUGCGAAGAUGCUUGUUUCAGCAUAUUGUGCAUGUCACCCUUCCUACCACGAGCCCAAUCAGUGCUGCCUUGACAAAUCUCCCCUAGAGUGGGAAUCAUUUUUUCAAGCGCUUGAAGGGCAUUUGCGCACCAUGUCCCUCGCAGUGACCCAAAACCUGCUCCCAUUUACAACCUUUUCACACUGCAUGACACAAAAUCCACUCGGUAUUCACAGAGGACGUCGUACAUCAGGUGCUGCAUUGUAUCUGCUACACCUUUUACAAAUCAAAUAACAGAUAACGGUGGGAAGCUGAUGGUCGGACCAGCAGAGGUUCAACUCUCAGCGCUCAUUGAACGUGUGGUUGAAUGAGAAGCCCUUUUUUCUUUCCCCCAGCAG